Molecule: ribosomal RNA, 615 nt
Filed under: uncultured bacterium
Lineage: Bacteria
Description: bacterial SSU rRNA
Rfam family: Bacterial small subunit ribosomal RNA (bases 1-534)
Source: RNAcentral
CCUACGGGAGGCAGCAGUAGGGAAUAUUGGACAAUGGGUGCGAGCCUGAUCCAGCCAUGCCGCGUGCAGGAAGAAGGCCUUCUGGGUUGUAAACUGCUUUUGCCGGGGGAUAAAAGACCCAUGCGUGGGGAAUUGAAGGUACCCGGUGAAUAAGCCACGGCUAACUACGUGCCAGCAGCCGCGGUAAUACGUAGGUGGCGAGCGUUGUCCGGAUUUAUUGGGUUUAAAGGGUGCGUAGGCGGCCCCGUAAGUCAGUGGUGAAAUACGGCAGCUCAACUGUCGAGGUGCCAUUGAUACUGCGGGGCUUGAGUACAGUCGAGGUAGGCGGAAUUGACGGUGUAGCGGUGAAAUGCUUAGGUAUCGUCAAGAACACCGAUAGCGAAGGCAGCUUGCUAGGCUGUAACUGACGCUGAGGCACGAAAGUGCGGGGAUCAAACAGGAUUAGAUACCCUGGUAGUCCGCACAGUAAACGAUGGUCACUCGGUGUUGGCGGUACACGGCCAGCGCCUUAGCGAAAGCGUUAAGUGACCCACCGNGGGAGUACGCCGCGAGGUAGAACGACGAAGAAGUAGACGGCGUGAGACGUGCCGACGGACGACGACGAGGGAGGUUAGG